GCCUUCUUGGCUCAGUUGGCAGAGCGUCUGCCUAGUAAGCAGAAGGUCACCAGUUCGAUUCUGGUAGAAGGCA
Molecule: transfer RNA, 73 nt
Filed under: Polychytrium aggregatum
Lineage: Eukaryota; Fungi; Chytridiomycota; Chytridiomycetes; Polychytriales
Also listed under: 4 other names
Description: tRNA-Thr
Rfam family: tRNA
About the family: Transfer RNA (tRNA) molecules are approximately 80 nucleotides in length. Their secondary structure includes four short double-helical elements and three loops (D, anti-codon, and T loops).
Source: RNAcentral